RNAcentral lists this ribosomal RNA (492 nucleotides) under uncultured bacterium. RNAcentral describes it as "partial 16S ribosomal RNA". It matches the Rfam family "Bacterial small subunit ribosomal RNA", at positions 29 to 507 of the family's 1533-position model. The record is from RNAcentral.
AGUGAACGCUGGCGGUAGGCCUAACACAUGCAAGUCGAACGGCAGCACAGUAAGAGCUUGCCCUUACGGGUGGCGAGUGGCGGACGGGUGAGGAAUACAUCGGAAUCUACUUUUUCGUGGGGGAUAACGUAGGGAAACUUACGCUAAUACCGCAUACGACCUACGGGUGAAAGCAGGGGAUCUUCGGACCUUGCGCGAUUGAUUGAGCCGAUGUCGGAUUAGCUAGUUGGCGGGGUAAAGGCCCACCAAGGCGACGAUCCGUAGCUGGUCUGAGAGGAUGAUCAGCCACACUGGAACUGAGACACGGUCCAGACUCCUACGGGAGGCAGCAGUGGGGAAUAUUGGACAAUGGGCGCAAGCCUGAUCCAGCCAUACCGCGUGGGUGAAGAAGGCCUUCGGGUUGUAAAGCCCUUUUGUUGGGAAAGAAAAGCAGCAGGUUAAUACCCCGCUGUUCUGACGGUACCCAAAGAAUAAGCACCGGCUAACUUCGUG